AUUGAACGCUGGCGGCAUGCUUUACACAUGCAAGUCGAACGGUAACAGGUUAAGCUGACGAGUGGCGAACGGGUGAGUAAUGCAUCGGAACGUGCCCGGUCGUGGGGGAUAACGCAGCGAAAGCUGCGCUAAUACCGCAUACGAUCUGAGGAUGAAAGCGGGGGACCGUAAGGCCUCGCGCGAUCGGAGCGGCCGAUGUCAGAUUAGGGAGUUGGUGGGGUAAAGGCUCACCAGGCCAACGAUCUGUAGCUGGUCUGAGAGGACGAACCGCCACACUGGAGCUGGGACACGGGCCAGCAUCCUACGGGAGGCAGCAGUGGGGAAUUUUGGACAAUGGGCGAAAGCCUGAUCCAGCAAUGCCGCGUGCAGGAAGAAGGCCUUCGGGUUGUAAACUGCUUUUGUACGGAGCGAAAAGGUCUCCUCUAAUACAGGGGGCUCAUGACGGUACCGUAAGAAUAAGCACCGGCUAACUACGUGCCAGCCGCCGCCGUAA
RNAcentral lists this ribosomal RNA (493 nucleotides) under uncultured bacterium. RNAcentral describes it as "partial 16S ribosomal RNA". It matches the Rfam family "Bacterial small subunit ribosomal RNA", at positions 29 to 523 of the family's 1533-position model. The record is from RNAcentral.